Molecule: ribosomal RNA, 305 nt
Filed under: uncultured bacterium
Lineage: Bacteria
Description: bacterial SSU rRNA
Rfam family: Bacterial small subunit ribosomal RNA
Source: RNAcentral
CCUACGGGGCGCAGCAGUGAGGAAUAUUGGUCAAUGGGCGAGAGCCUGAACCAGCCAAGUCGCGUGAGGGAAGACGGUCCUAUGGAUUGUAAACCUCUUUUGCCGGGGAGCAAAAAGCGGUACGUGUACCGCAUCGAGAGUACCCGGAGAAAAAGCAUCGGCUAACUCCGUGCCAGCAGCCGCGGUAAUACGGAGGAUGCGAGCGUUAUCCGGAUUUAUUGGGUUUAAAGGGUGCGUAGGCGGAAUGCCAAGUCAGCGGUAAAAUCGCGGGGCUCAACCUCGCUCCGCCGUUGAAACUGGCGUUC